CCGGUCUGAACUCAGAUCACGUAGGAUUUUAAAGGUUGAACAAACCUUCUAUUUAAACGGCUACAUUUAAUAGAAUUCCUAAGCCAACAUCGAGGUGCUAAACUUCCCCGUAGAUGUGGGCUCUUGGGGGAAAUAAGACUGUUAUCCCUGCGGUAGCUAGAAUUAAAGAUCAUGAAAUGGGUCUAUGGGUUGAUAAAUAAUCUUUAUUAUAUAGGGAAGUUAUAUUUGUUCCCUUGUCGCCCCAACAAAAUUCUUGUAAGAUUUAAAAUUAAGAUUUUUAUUUUAUGGAAUUAAGCUCGACAGGGUCUUCUUGUCUUUUAAAUAAAUUCAGGCCUCUUCACCUGAAGGUUAAUUUUUAUUAUUAUAAAGGAGACAGUUAGGCUUUCGUUUUUCCAUUCAUACUAGCCUCUAAUUAGGAGGCAAAUGAUUAUGCUACCUUUGCACGGUCAGGAUACCGCGGCCGUUGAAAAUUCACUGGGCAGGAUAUAUACCUAUUAUAAGAUUGUCAAUAGGCUAUGUUUUG
Molecule: ribosomal RNA, 523 nt
Filed under: Onuphis elegans
Lineage: Eukaryota; Metazoa; Annelida; Polychaeta; Eunicida; Onuphidae
Description: partial 16S ribosomal RNA
Source: RNAcentral